UACGUAGGGUGCGAGCGUUGUCCGGAAUUAUUGGGCGUAAAGAGCUCGUAGGCGGUUUGUUGCGUCGGCUGUGAAAUCCCGAGGCUCAACCUCGGGUCUGCAGUCGAUACGAGCAAACUAGAGUGUUGCAGGGGAGACUGGAAUUCCUGGUGUAGCGGUGAAAUGCGCAGAUAUCAGGAGGAACACCGGUGGCGAAGGCGGGUCUCUGGACAACACCUGACACUGAGGCACGAAAGCUAGGGGAGCAAACAGG
Molecule: ribosomal RNA, 253 nt
Filed under: uncultured bacterium
Lineage: Bacteria
Description: partial 16S ribosomal RNA
Rfam family: Bacterial small subunit ribosomal RNA
Source: RNAcentral